UAUCCUGUCUGAAUAUGGGGGGACCAUCCUCCAAGGCUAAAUACUCCUGACUGACCGAUAGUGAACCAGUACCGUGAGGGAAAGGCGAAAAGAACCCCGGCGAGGGGAGUGAAAAAGAACCUGAAACCGUGUACGUACAAGCAGUGGGAGCACGCUUAGGCGUGUGACUGCGUACCUUUUGUAUAAUGGGUCAGCGACUUAUAUUCUGUAGCAAGGUUAACCGAAUAGGGGAGCCGAAGGGAAACCGAGUCUUAACUGGGCGUUAAGUUGCAGGGUAUAGACCCGAAACCCGGUGAUCUAGCCAUGGGCAGGUUGAAGGUUGGGUAACACUAACUGGAGGACCGAACCGACUAAUGUUGAAAAAUUAGCGGAUGACUUGUGGCUGGGGGUGAAAGGCCAAUCAAACCGGGAGAUAGCUGGUUCUCCCCGAAAGCUAUUUAGGUAGCGCCUCGUGAAUUCAUCUCCGGGGGUAGAGCACUGUUUCGGCAAGGGGGUCAUCCCGACUUACCAACCCGAUGCAAACUGCGAAUACCGGAGAAUGUUAUCACGGGAGACACACGGCGGGUGCUAACGUCCGUCGUGAAGAGGGAAACAACCCAGACCGCCAGCUAAGGUCCCAAAGUCAUGGUUAAGUGGGAAACGAUGUGGGAAGGCCCAGACAGCCAGGAUGUUGGCUUAGAAGCAGCCAUCAUUUAAAGAAAGCGUAAUAGCUCACUGGUCGAGUCGGCCUGCGCGGAAGAUGUAACGGGGCUAAACCAUGCACCGAAGCUGCGGCAGCGACGCUGAUGCGUUGUUGGGUAGGGGAGCGUUCUGUAAGCCUGUGAAGGUGUGCUGUGAGGCAUGCUGGAGGUAUCAGAAGUGCGAAUGCUGACAUAAGUAACGAUAAAGCGGGUGAAAAGCCCGCUCGCCGGAAGACCAAGGGUUCCUGUCCAACGUUAAUCGGGGCAGGGUGAGUCGACCCCUAAGGCGAGGCCGAAAGGCGUAGUCGAUGGGAAACAGGUUAAUAUUCCUGUACUUGGUGUUACUGCGAAGGGGGGACGGAGAAGGCUAUGUUGGCCGGGCGACGGUUGUCCCGGUUUAAGCGUGUAGGCUGGUUUUCCAGGCAAAUCCGGAAAAUCAAGGCUGAGGCGUGAUGACGAGGCACUACGGUGCUGAAGCAACAAAUGCCCUGCUUCCAGGAAAAGCCUCUAAGCAUCAGGUAACAUCAAAUCGUACCCCAAACCGACACAGGUGGUCAGGUAGAGAAUACCAAGGCGCUUGAGAGAACUCGGGUGAAGGAACUAGGCAAAAUGGUGCCGUAACUUCGGGAGAAGGCACGCUGAUAUGUAGGUGAAGCGACUUGCUCGUGGAGCUGAAAUCAGUCGAAGAUACCAGCUGGCUGCAACUGUUUAUUAAAAACACAGCACUGUGCAAACACGAAAGUGGACGUAUACGGUGUGACGCCUGCCCGGUGCCGGAAGGUUAAUUGAUGGGGUCAGCGCAAGCGAAGCUCUUGAUCGAAGCCCCGGUAAACGGCGGCCGUAACUAUAACGGUCCUAAGGUAGCGAAAUUCCUUGUCGGGUAAGUUCCGACCUGCACGAAUGGCGUAAUGAUGGCCAGGCUGUCUCCACCCGAGACUCAGUGAAAUUGAACUCGCUGUGAAGAUGCAGUGUACCCGCGGCAAGACGGAAAGACCCCGUGAACCUUUACUAUAGCUUGACACUGAACAUUGAGCCUUGAUGUGUAGGAUAGGUGGGAGGCUUUGAAGUGUGG
RNAcentral lists this ribosomal RNA (1752 nucleotides) under Escherichia coli. Its description in RNAcentral is "partial 23S ribosomal RNA". It matches the Rfam family "Bacterial large subunit ribosomal RNA", at positions 430 to 2167 of the family's 2925-position model. The record is from RNAcentral. Lineage: Bacteria; Pseudomonadati; Pseudomonadota; Gammaproteobacteria; Enterobacterales; Enterobacteriaceae.